RNAcentral lists this ribosomal RNA (492 nucleotides) under uncultured bacterium. RNAcentral's name for it is "partial 16S ribosomal RNA". It matches the Rfam family "Bacterial small subunit ribosomal RNA", at positions 30 to 507 of the family's 1533-position model. The record is from RNAcentral.
AGUGAACGCUGGCGGUAGGCCUAACACAUGCAAGUCGAACGGCAGCACAGUAAGAGCUUGCUCUUACGGGUGGCGAGUGGCGGACGGGUGAGGAAUACAUCGGCACCUACUUAAUCGUGGGGGAAAACGUGGGUAACAUUACGCUAAUACCGCUUACGCCCUACGGGUCAAGGCAGGCGAUCGUCGGAGCUUGAGCAACUCAAUGAGCAGAUGUCGGAUUCGCUGGUAGGCGGGGUAAAGGCCGACCAAGGCGCCGACCCGUAGCUGGUCGGAGAGGGUGGUCAGCCAGACGGGAAGUGAGACAGGGUCGAGACUCCGACAGGAGGAAGCAGUGGGGAAUAUUGGACGAUGGGGGCAAGCCUGAUCCAGCCAUACCGCGUGGGCGAAGAAGGCCCGCGGGUGGCAAAGUCCUUUUGUUGGGAAAGAAAAACAGCAGGAUAAGACCCCGCUGUUCUGACGGUACCCAAAGAAUAAGCACCGGCUAACUUCGUG